GUUUCUAUGAUUACUUUUACAAAAAUAAUCCAAAAAGAUGCAUUCCUGAGCACCAUUCAAAAUGUGUGAUAUUGGCAGAAUACAUAGGACACCCUGCUGCUUUCUCCCUUGGUAAAAAGGGAGUGAGAGGGCGGCCUACAGGAUGUGCACAAGGGGUGUGAUGGAAAUCGUGAAUUGUUUUGGAGAGUGCACAUUGCCCCCCACAAGAAGAGGCCAGCAACAUCCCCAAAUCACUUCAGUAAUGAUCCUUCCGCAGGUUCACCUACGGAAA
RNAcentral lists this unclassified non-coding RNA (271 nucleotides) under uncultured fungus. RNAcentral's name for it is "sequence contains ITS1". The record is from RNAcentral. Lineage: Eukaryota; Fungi.